This 614-nucleotide ribosomal RNA is filed under the name Sarcocystis miescheriana. RNAcentral describes it as "SSU rRNA". It matches the Rfam family "Eukaryotic small subunit ribosomal RNA", at positions 435 to 1008 of the family's 1831-position model. The record is from RNAcentral. Lineage: Eukaryota; Apicomplexa; Conoidasida; Eucoccidiorida; Sarcocystidae.
CGCAAAUUACCCAAUCCUGACUCAGGGAGGUAGUGACAAGAAAUAACAACACUGGAAAUUUGAUUUCUAGUGAUUGGAAUGAUGGGAAUCCAAACCCCUUUCAGAGUAACAAUUGGAGGGCAAGUCUGGUGCCAGCAGCCGCGGUAAUUCCAGCUCCAAUAGCGUAUAUUAAAGUUGUUGCAGUUAAAAAGCUCGUAGUUGGAUGUCUGUUGGAAGCAAUCAUCAGUCCGCCCUAUUUGAUUAGGGUGUGAAUAUGAUGAAUUCCGGCAUAAUUGUCUCCCUAUUGUUAAUAUUCUGAUUGUUAGAUUCAUUUCUAACAAUAAUACGAUUAUUAAUAAUAAGGGGGAAAUGUUACUUUGAGAAAAUUAGAGUGUUUGAAGCAGGCUUUUGUUGCCUUGAAUACUGCAGCAUGGAAUAACAAUAUAGGAUUUCGGUUCUAUUUUGUUGGUUCUUUUUUUAGGACUGAAAUAAUGAUUAAUAGGGACAGUUGGGGGCAUUCGUAUUUAACUGUCAGAGGUGAAAUUCUUAGAUUUGUUAAAGACGAACUACUGCGAAAGCAUUUGCCAAAGAUGUUUUCAUUAAUCAAGAACGAAAGUUAGGGGCUCGAAGACGAU